UUUAAUUCCAGCUCCAAUAGUGUAUAUUAGAGUUGUUGCAGUUAAAAAGCUCGUAGUUGGAUUUCUGUCGUGGUCAUCCGGUUCCGCCUGUAUGGGUGUGCAGCUGGAUUGGGCUCGGCAUUCUUCCGGUUGCCUUGCAUGCUUUGUUGUGUGUUUGGUGUUCCGGAACUUUUACUUUGAGAAAAAUAGAGUGUUUCAAGCAGGCUUGUUGCCUUGAAUACUGCAGCAUGGAAUAAUAAGAUAGGACCAUGGUUCUAUUUUGUUGGUUUCUAGGACUAGGGUAAUGAUUAAUAGGGACAGUUGGGGGCAUUCGUAUUUAACUGUCAGAGGUGAAAUUCUUAGAUUUGUUAAAGACGAACUACUGCGAAAGCAUUUGCCAAGGAUGUUUUCAUUAAUCAAGAACGACAGUAGGGGGUUUGAAGACGAUUAGAUACCGUCGUAAUCUCUACCAUAAACUAUGCCGACUAGAGAUAGGGAAAUGCCUACCUUGGCUUCUCCUGAAGA
Molecule: ribosomal RNA, 504 nt
Filed under: Eimeria hestermani
Lineage: Eukaryota; Apicomplexa; Conoidasida; Eucoccidiorida; Eimeriidae
Description: SSU rRNA
Rfam family: Eukaryotic small subunit ribosomal RNA
Source: RNAcentral